ACCUUUAAGUACUUUUUCGGGCAUUUUCGUGAUUUGGGCUAUAUUACGGACCCAAAAUUACUUGUUCAAGCAUUGUUUUCGAAUUUUUUCAUGCAUCAAAGCUCGUUAAGACUAGAUGGGGUAUCCCUACAUAGCGGGUGGGACCCACGGCGAAUGGUUCAUCAAGUCUUCAAAAAAGAAUAUAUACGAUUGCAUUGCAUAUACUAACGGAUGCGAUCAUACCAGCACUAAUGCACCGAAUCCCAUCAGAACUCCUCAGUUAAGCGUGCUUGGGCGAGAGUAGUACUAGGAUGGGUGACCUCCCGGGAAGUCCUCGUGUUGCAUCCCUUUUUUUUUUUGGUUAAAACUUUAUGACUCCAUAACUUCUACACAGA
This 374-nucleotide ribosomal RNA is filed under the name Arabidopsis thaliana (thale cress). The record is from RNAcentral. Lineage: Eukaryota; Viridiplantae; Streptophyta; Magnoliopsida; Brassicales; Brassicaceae.